This is a non-coding RNA of Lolium perenne, 563 nucleotides long. NCBI's taxonomy places the organism in Eukaryota, Viridiplantae, Streptophyta, Magnoliopsida, Poales, Poaceae. The record is from RefSeq and is a predicted model, not a curated record.
CCUCCCUUUUCAGUCGAAGAAAAAAAAUGUGCAUUGCCAGCUGUAGAUGGGUGAUUGGCCAUCUGAGAAGGCAAACGAUGGCUGAGUUAAGUAAGUUUCUUUGUGGUGCAUAUGUGUGAGACCUAGGAUUUAAAUGCAAGAAGGUAUGUGAAUCUAGAUGAAAUCCCUGGAGGGGUAUGAUCUCACAUGGACAUUGUUCAUCAUUAAAGUUAUGCCCUCCCUGGAGGAACUAUAUUUGACAGUGUGGAGUCACCUGUGUAAAAUGGAAAUGGAUGAGAGCACUCUUGUAGGAUUGGACUAGGCAUAGGUGCCCGAUAACUAGACAUGGAGGCCCGGAUCCGACCUUCCCUGCUUGAUCUUCCUUUUUUCCUGACCUUCCCGCUCGAUAACAUACUUUACCUAACCUGACCUAACACAUUGAGGUAGUCUUAUGCUUAACUGGUUCUUCAAUGAGAUCUCUUAGAAUCUGGAACAUAGGAGCAGACAUAUACUUGAGGUCUCAAGUUGCUUCACAGAGGCCAUCGUCAUCUUAUACACUGCUUAUAUCAACGCCGACAACUCAA